AGCGAACGCUGGCGGCAGGCCUAACACAUGCAAGUCGAACGGAUCCUUCGGGAUUAGUGGCGGACGGGUGAGUAACACGUGGGAACGUGCCUUUUGGUUUGGAACAACUCAGGGAAACUUGAGCUAAUACCGGAUAAGCAUUUCGAGGGAAAGAUUUAUCGCCAUUAGAGCGGCCCGCGUAGGAUUAGCUAGUUGGUGGG
This 200-nucleotide ribosomal RNA is filed under the name uncultured bacterium. Its description in RNAcentral is "partial 16S ribosomal RNA". It matches the Rfam family "Bacterial small subunit ribosomal RNA", at positions 29 to 256 of the family's 1533-position model. The record is from RNAcentral.